GAACUCUGCUUGCCUCAUCUCUGCAUUAGGGACUGGUUACUGUCUGUUAAAGCAUGCUGAGCGGAACAACCAGUUUAAACACUGUUAUCAGUACCGGCCCCAUUACCCAGCUGAGGAAACAAAGAACUGUGGCUUUAAAGCUCAAACACACAAAAUACCAGCAGCAAAAUCAGGCAGCAAUGUAUCACAAUGGCUCAACUCAAAGACUGUCUGAGAGCUAAUGAAGAGCUCUGAGUCUCAGUGGGGGAUGAUACCCUGCAACUUCUUUUUAUUGGUCCGGAAGUUUGAACCAUCUAGAAAAGUGUUUUCACACUGCAAACGAAACAGCUCUUCUAAAAAGUCAGAUAGUCUGGACCAAACAAGGUAAAUGUAAACCUCAUGCUGAAUGCAUAAACUUAACCACUACUAUGAUCAUAAACUUCAUCCCUAACCCUAGCCUUACCCAUCCUCAACCCAAAAUCUAAUCCUAACUGGUUCUAAACCCUAUAUUCUAACAAUAAUCCAAACCUUUACCUCUACCAAAAACCUAAACCUAAACUAUUACUCUGCUCAGUAGCAUAAUCUAUCUUGGUCCUGAGCUUCACCUUAACCAUAAUCAUAACAUCAUUCCAGUACCUGAAACUAAACUAAUACACACCCUGAUCUUAAACUCCACCCACAAUCUCUCUCUCUCUAUAUAUAUAUAUAUUUUUUUACACUGUAAAUUUAAUAUUGAAGACAUUAAAGCCAUACAGGAACCAAAAUAUGUUUUAUACUUUAUAUUCUUCUAAGUACUACAUUUAUCUUUGAGGACAGAUCUGCACACUCUUGGUAUUUUUAAUCUCAGUGUUUUCAUGAGGGAGAGUCACCUGGAAUAGUUUUCUCAGCGUCUUGAAGGAAGGAGUUUCUGGAGGUGCUGAACAAUAGUUGCUGCUUUUCCUUCAUGCUGUGAAGCUCCAGCUCAUCCCAAUUAAAUCAGCUCAAAUCACCAUCUCAGUUUAUCAGGUUUAGAUCAGGGGAAUUUUUGUUGACUAGUAAUUCCAUUCUGUCUCUUAAUUGUUUUUAUGACUUUAAUAUUAAUCUACAAUGUUUGAAUGUGUGUCCUUCCCUCUUUUUCUUUUUCUGUCUCCCUCAGUCCCCUCAAGCCUAGCCUGGAAUCAGUUCAUGUCAGCAGUUCCCAGGUGUGAGUGAUUGUGAGAGUGUGUGUGUGUGUGUGUGUGUGUGUGUGUUAUUGCUGUUGAUAAAGAAUUAGGUGCUGCUAAGUUUCUAGGGAGUUCCCUCUCUGCACUGCAGUCAUAUCCUGUUCUCUCUGACUGACCUCAGAUCAGGAGGCUCUAAUUGACGACUGUCCAAAUAUUACUGACCACAUAGACCAUUUUUACAAUUGCUGCAUCAUCAUCAUCAUGUCCAACUCAUGUCCACUGGUCGUUUUUUAGACUCCCUCAGUCAUUUUUACAGGUUUUACACAGUCAACAGGAGCACAGCUAACAUGGUGGUGAUGAAUUCCUUCAUCAUUAAACGAGGGUUAGUCUGUGUUGAGAAUAUUGGAUCAUGCUAAAGUUUAACCCUUAGAACUCUAGGCUGUUUUGGUGUGUUUUUCUCUGUUUUUGUCAGUUCCCCUUUCAGGUCUUAUAACACAGUAAUUUUAUCAGACAGUCACAUGACCUGAGCUCUUUUACUCCAGAAGACAUACGGCUGCUUAAAAAUAUAAUCAUUUAAAAUGUAAAGCAGAAUUUGAUUACUUAUUUUUGAAUGUAUAGACUUUAAAUAUAUUCACACCUAAAAUAUAUUUUCAAAAAUGGUUAGACUAGAGUAUUUAUGAGUUAAAUGAAUAAGAAUAUUGAUGAUAGUUCAUUACAUGGUUUAAUAUUACUUUGACAAAAUACAUGAACAGCAUCAGGCGGAGUUAUUUUUCUUGAUAAUCAAUAAUCACACCUCUAGGAUACAUGUAGAUUAUUAAUAACCUGACGCUCAGAGCAGCCUAUGGCUUUCAGUAUUUUAAUCAGAAGAAAUCUAUAUACAAAAAUGUAAACUUUUUAGUCUAAAUAAAUAAAUAAAGUUUCACA
This 2045-nucleotide long non-coding RNA is filed under the name Astyanax mexicanus (Mexican tetra). RNAcentral's name for it is "lncRNA (ENSAMXG00005016971.1)". Lineage: Eukaryota; Metazoa; Chordata; Actinopteri; Characiformes; Acestrorhamphidae. The record is from RNAcentral.